AGCACCAGUGUAGGUGUCUGUCUAAUGUGUGGACAAAGAGUUUGAGAGCAGUACAAGAAUGAUUAUCCUCUUUUGUUACCCAGAAUUUAUUGUUCUGUAUGAGUUCUGAUACAGAUAAGAAGGAACAUA
This is a small nucleolar RNA of Sorex araneus (European shrew), 129 nucleotides long. NCBI's taxonomy places the organism in Eukaryota, Metazoa, Chordata, Mammalia, Eulipotyphla, Soricidae. The record is from Ensembl.